CAGCAGCCGCGGGAAAACAGAGGGUGCGAGCGUUAAUCGGAUUUACUGGGCGUAAAGCGUGCGUAGGCGGCUAAUUGAGUCGGAUGUGAAAUCCCCGAGCUUAACUUGGGAAUUGCAUUCGAUACUGGUUAGCUAGAGUGUGGGAGAGGAUGGUAGAAUUCCAGGUGUAGCGGUGAAAUGCGUAGAGAUCUGGAGGAAUACCGAUGGCGAAGGCAGCCAUCUGGCCUAACACUGACGCUGAGGUACGAAAGCAUGGGGAGCAAACAGGAUUAGAUACCCCGGUAGUCCCUGUCUCUUAUAC
This 301-nucleotide ribosomal RNA is filed under the name uncultured bacterium. RNAcentral describes it as "partial 16S ribosomal RNA". It matches the Rfam family "Bacterial small subunit ribosomal RNA", at positions 509 to 807 of the family's 1533-position model. The record is from RNAcentral.